CUUUUCAUCUUGUCUCCAUUUCUCUUUCCUCUUGCCCUGCCCCCCAUCCCCGUUCUCUCUCCAGGCAAGACCCAUGGAUUGAUCCGCGGGCUGGAUCAAGUGGCGCCCAAUGUCGUGCCUGGCAUGAGCGGUAUCAAUGCAGGACCAUUCAUAGGAGUAAAUCGCUGCGCAGCGUGACUGAUUCAAGGGCUUCGUCCCUGUGAUCCAUGCAGACGGCCACCUUACGUCUCGCCUGAAUCACGGCAAUGCUGGCUUCUGUGUAGAUCACUGUCGGACUUCUAACACAACUACACCUGUGCGCAAUGACUGAUAAUCCCCACCAACCUUAAAAGUGGUCAAUCAUUCAUUGGGACGAUCAAACGGAGGUUACAACCUGGUUCUUCUAGCUCAUCUGCCUGUGAUUGGGACAAUCACCACAAGCUGACUCUUCCUGACGUCUCUGGUAGAGGGACCUGUCUUGGGGACUUCAGCCACCCACCAGCACUGACAGCAUGACUCUGUGCCCAGCUUCAUUCAGAGUUCCAACCAAACAAUUACCUCAUCUCUCUCCCAGGAAUGUCUUGGGCCUGCAAUUUUGGCCUCUCACCCUGUAUAGCAACUACUGUUUUUAACAAGUCUACAGAUUUUUGUGUUCUUGUACAGGUUCUUCCUCGCAUAACAUUCCACCCAGGAGACUACUACCUCCAGGCAUCACAGAUUGGCUAUAUACAUAAAAGAGAACCUGCCAUGCUCACCUUAGCUGUAUUAAUAGGGUUAGGAGUUGCAACGGGGAUAGGAACAGGGACUACAGCUCUAGUGUUGGGAAAUCAACAUCUAGCUCAAUUACAGGCGACAGUAGAUCAAGAUUUAAAAAAAAUAAAAA
Cavia porcellus (domestic guinea pig) is the source of this 862-nucleotide long non-coding RNA. RefSeq lists it as uncharacterized. The transcript has 3 exons. Lineage: Eukaryota; Metazoa; Chordata; Mammalia; Rodentia; Caviidae. The record is from RefSeq and is a predicted model, not a curated record.